This 403-nucleotide ribosomal RNA is filed under the name Fusobacteriota bacterium. RNAcentral describes it as "Fusobacteria bacterium partial 16S ribosomal RNA". It matches the Rfam family "Bacterial small subunit ribosomal RNA", at positions 355 to 776 of the family's 1533-position model. The record is from RNAcentral. Lineage: Bacteria; Fusobacteriati; Fusobacteriota.
UGGGGAAUAUUGCACAAUGGAGGGAACUCUGAUGCAGCGACGCCGCGUGCACGAAGAAGGCUUUCGAGUCGUAAAGUUCCUUUAUAUGGGAAGAUAAUGACGGGACCAUAAGAAAAAGCCCCGGCUAACUACGUGCCAGCAGCCGCGGUAAUACGUAGGGGGCUAGCGUUGUCCGGAAUCACUGCGCGUAAAGGGUUCGCAGGCGGAAAUGCAAGUCAGGUGUAAAAGGCAGUAGCUUAACUACUGUAAGCAUUUGAAACUGCAUAUCUUGAGAAGAGUAGAGGUAAGUGGAAUUUUUAGUGUAGCGGUGAAAUGCGUAGAUAUUAAACAGAAUACCGGUGGCGAAGGCGACUUACUGGGCUCAUUCUGACGCUGAGGAACGAAAGCGUGGGUAGCAAACAGG